GUUGUUAGAUUUCAGACUCACCUGCCCCACACCCCAAGCAGCAGGCGUAACCCAAGUGUCCAGGGAACCCUCUCCCAUUGGCCCCUACCCGAGAGCUGUUCCUACCUGUGUCAUCUUCAUCGUGGACGCUGCCACACAGACUCACAGUGCUCCACGCUGCAGAAACACAGACAUGAGGAACCAAGGUGUUAGAAUCUGUCCCCCACUCAUGUCGCCUACCGAAGGUUGUUUGGGGCCUCACAGCACUGCCCUGGUCUGGCCUCCGUGUGCUCAGAACUUCCCUGGGCUCUAUGGCCUCAACGUGUCUCUGCAACCAAAGGAGCAGGAGGGCCCCCCCUCCCUUCCUCAACACCUGGACUUCUCCUCAGCGGAGCAGGGUUCCAGAAUACUCACAGCUUUCACCGUCCGUCCCGUCCACCUGCAAUGACAGAAAAGAAAACACGGUGAGCGUCACAGCAUCCUCUGCACGGUGGCCGCAGGUCUUCCUGCUGUUGGGGACCACAGGCAGGCACACAGAAGGCAGAGUUGAGUCGGUUUCCCCAAAAGAAGACAGCGAAGACACCUUUGGAAAAGGCGCGAACUUCCCACGGAAGACCUCCCCAGGCCAUGUUCCUUCAAAAAACAUUCCGGCCUCUUCAAAGAAAAAUGCUCCCUACUGUACCCUUGGGAACGGAUGCGCUCCCUUUUGCAAAUGCCCCUUGGAAGGAGCUAGUUGCUGGUACCAAACGUUGAUGCCACAUUCCUCCGCAGAGGAAUCUGCAUGCCUCAUAAACAAUGGACUUCCUCAGAUUUUCAUUUCUCAGGUAGGAAUAUCAAAAAAGAAAGGAGGCGACUUUUCCAAUCUCACAUCAAGAAAGGUGAGCUUACCUUGGGGGCAGAUUCAUCUUCCUGCUCAGCCCCAGCCCUGGCUGGGGACGUCUUGUCAUUGUCACUGCCUGGGCCCGCCUCCUCCUCUGCCUCGCCAACGGCUGCGGCCUCCUCUGCCCCCUUCUCAGGGGCCGGGCCCGCCUCCUCCUCCUUGGUCACAGCCUGGGCCUCCUCCUCGGUCUUCUCACUCCCACCGGCCUCCACAACAUCGUCGUGCGUUGCUAGGGGGACACACACUCACUGUCAGCAGGGCGGUGGUGCUGCU
RNAcentral lists this long non-coding RNA (1132 nucleotides) under Sus scrofa (pig). RNAcentral's name for it is "lncRNA (ENSSSCG00070006605.1)". Lineage: Eukaryota; Metazoa; Chordata; Mammalia; Artiodactyla; Suidae. The record is from RNAcentral.